Molecule: long non-coding RNA, 735 nt
Filed under: Phascolarctos cinereus (koala)
Lineage: Eukaryota; Metazoa; Chordata; Mammalia; Diprotodontia; Phascolarctidae
Description: lncRNA (ENSPCIG00000009389.2)
Source: RNAcentral
ACUAUUUUCUCUUCAAUCAGACUUCCAAAAUAUUUCGCCUCCAGUCUUGUAUAUGGGUGAGUUCCUCCUUGUGAUUUCUAGGAAACCAGGCUGAGAAAUUCCCCAACACAUUUAGCAGGGGAAAUUGUAUCCCAAAGCCAUAAAUACAGGAAUGAGCUGCCUAUGACAGAAGCUGUUUAUACAAAACAUUCAACUUGGGUCAUCCCAUCCCAAACCACUUGCAACCAAAGGGAAGGAAAGGAGUCCACUGGACUUGGAAUCUCCUCUAGUUAAAUAACAUUUGGGGUUAUUCAGUAUUUUUCUGUGGAUUCUAUCAGUUGCAUAUAAAAUAUGAAAAUCCUGUUGGAUAAUUUUCUAACCUCAUAAACAGAGGGGCCCUUCGGGUUCCUGGGAAAUUUCUCUCAGUUAGCUUCAGUGUAGGAACUGAACAGAACUGAGCCAAAGCAAGCUUAGUGUGGCCUAGCCUGGUCUGGUGCCCCUUUUCCUGGCAUCUCCUGAGCUGGCCUUCCUUCAUCACUCCUAUAAUUCCCAGGUUCCAGCCAUCAAGUCAUCAUGAGAAUCCUCUACCUGGUGUUUAUGAUGCUAUUUGUGAUCUUCUCCUGUUUUGGCACAGGUUUCACCCAACUGGUGACCAUGAGGAUCCUUUAUCUGAUGUUUGUGGUGGUCUUUGUGAUCUUCUCCUCUGCUGGCAAAAGUAAGAUGUGGGCUAAAUAUCAAAGAAGGAGGGGGGCGUAU